This 715-nucleotide ribosomal RNA is filed under the name Escherichia coli. Its description in RNAcentral is "partial 23S ribosomal RNA". It matches the Rfam family "Bacterial large subunit ribosomal RNA", at positions 450 to 1165 of the family's 2925-position model. The record is from RNAcentral. Lineage: Bacteria; Pseudomonadati; Pseudomonadota; Gammaproteobacteria; Enterobacterales; Enterobacteriaceae.
GGACCAUCCUCCAAGGCUAAAUACUCCUGACUGACCGAUAGUGAACCAGUACCGUGAGGGAAAGGCGAAAAGAACCCCGGCGAGGGGAGUGAAAAAGAACCUGAAACCGUGUACGUACAAGCAGUGGGAGCACGCUUAGGCGUGUGACUGCGUACCUUUUGUAUAAUGGGUCAGCGACUUAUAUUCUGUAGCAAGGUUAACCGAAUAGGGGAGCCGAAGGGAAACCGAGUCUUAACUGGGCGUUAAGUUGCAGGGUAUAGACCCGAAACCCGGUGAUCUAGCCAUGGGCAGGUUGAAGGUUGGGUAACACUAACUGGAGGACCGAACCGACUAAUGUUGAAAAAUUAGCGGAUGACUUGUGGCUGGGGGUGAAAGGCCAAUCAAACCGGGAGAUAGCUGGUUCUCCCCGAAAGCUAUUUAGGUAGCGCCUCGUGAAUUCAUCUCCGGGGGUAGAGCACUGUUUCGGCAAGGGGGUCAUCCCGACUUACCAACCCGAUGCAAACUGCGAAUACCGGAGAAUGUUAUCACGGGAGACACACGGCGGGUGCUAACGUCCGUCGUGAAGAGGGAAACAACCCAGACCGCCAGCUAAGGUCCCAAAGUCAUGGUUAAGUGGGAAACGAUGUGGGAAGGCCCAGACAGCCAGGAUGUUGGCUUAGAAGCAGCCAUCAUUUAAAGAAAGCGUAAUAGCUCACUGGUCGAGUCGGCCUGCGCG